This 75-nucleotide transfer RNA is filed under the name Planctomycetaceae bacterium. RNAcentral describes it as "tRNA-Gln". It matches the Rfam family "tRNA". From Rfam's summary of the family: Transfer RNA (tRNA) molecules are approximately 80 nucleotides in length. Their secondary structure includes four short double-helical elements and three loops (D, anti-codon, and T loops). Further hydrogen bonds mediate the characteristic L-shaped molecular structure. tRNAs have two regions of fundamental functional importance: the anti-codon, which is responsible for specific mRNA codon recognition, and the 3' end, to which the tRNAs corresponding amino acid is attached (by aminoacyl-tRNA synthetases). tRNAs cope with the degeneracy of the genetic code in two manners: having more than one tRNA (with a specific anti-codon) for a particular amino acid; and 'wobble' base-pairing, i.e. permitting non-standard base-pairing at the 3rd anti-codon position. Lineage: Bacteria; Pseudomonadati; Planctomycetota; Planctomycetia; Planctomycetales; Planctomycetaceae. The record is from RNAcentral.
UGCGGGGUAGUUUCUGUUGGUAGAAAUCCCUGACUUUGAAUCAGGAGUCUGUAGGUUCGAUUCCUACCCCCGCAG